RNAcentral lists this ribosomal RNA (481 nucleotides) under uncultured bacterium. RNAcentral describes it as "bacterial SSU rRNA". It matches the Rfam family "Bacterial small subunit ribosomal RNA", at positions 20 to 518 of the family's 1533-position model. The record is from RNAcentral.
UGGCUCAGGACGAACGCUGGCGGCGUGCCUAACACAUGCAAGUCGAGCGAGGAGAUCCUUCGGGAUGAUCCUAGCGGCGGACGGGUGAGUAACACGUGGGCAACCUGCCUCAUAGAGAGGAAUAGCCUUCCGAAAGGGAGAUUAAUACCUCAUAACAUUGCAGUUUCGCAUGGAACAGCAAUUAAAGGAGUAAUCCGCUAUGAGAUGGGCCCGCGGCGCAUUAGCUAGUUGGUGAGGUAACGGCUCACCAAGGCGACGAUGCGUAGCCGACCUGAGAGGGUGAUCGGCCACAUUGGGACUGAGACACGGCCCAGACUCCUACGGGAGGCAGCAGUGGGGAAUAUUGCACAAUGGGGGAAACCCUGAUGCAAGCAACGCCGCGUGAGUGAUGACGGCCUUCGGGUUGUAAAGCUCUGUCUUCAGGGACGAUAAUGACGGUACCUGAGGAGGAAGCCACGGCUAACUACGUGCCAGCCGCUGC